UGGGGAAUUUUGCGCAAUGGGGGAAACCCUGACGCAGCAACGCCGCGUGAGUGAUGAAGGCCUUCGGGUCGUAAAGCUCUGUCAGAGGGAAAGAAAUGUAGCGUGGCUAAUAUCCAUGUUACUUGACGGUACCCUCAAAG
RNAcentral lists this ribosomal RNA (140 nucleotides) under uncultured Geobacter sp. RNAcentral describes it as "partial 16S ribosomal RNA". It matches the Rfam family "Bacterial small subunit ribosomal RNA", at positions 355 to 486 of the family's 1533-position model. Lineage: Bacteria; Pseudomonadati; Thermodesulfobacteriota; Desulfuromonadia; Geobacterales; Geobacteraceae. The record is from RNAcentral.